RNAcentral lists this ribosomal RNA (825 nucleotides) under uncultured bacterium. Its description in RNAcentral is "bacterial SSU rRNA". It matches the Rfam family "Bacterial small subunit ribosomal RNA", at positions 40 to 855 of the family's 1533-position model. The record is from RNAcentral.
UGACCCGCUGUCUAAUUAACAUUCAGUCGAACGGUAGAGUAGCAAUACUCGAGAGUGGCGAACGGGUGAGUAAUAUAUCGGAACGUGCCCAACUGUGGGGGAUAACGUAGAGAAAUUUACGCUAAUACCGCAUACGAUCUAAGGAUGAAAGCGGGGGAUCGCAAGACCUCGCGCAGUUGGAGCGGCUGAUAUCAGAUUAGCUUGUUGGUGAGGUAAAAGCUCACCAAGGCGACGAUCUGUAGCUGGUUUGAGAGAACGACCAGCCACACUGGGACUGAGACACGGCCCAGACUCCUACGGGAGGCAGCAGUGGGGAAUUUUGGACAAUGGGCGAAAGCCUGAUCCAGCAAUGCCGCGUGCAGGAAGAAGGCCUUCGGGUUGUAAACUGCUUUUGUACGGAACGAAACGGUCCUUUUUAAUACAGAGGGCUAAUGACGGUACCGUAAGAAUAAGCACCGGCUAACUACGUGCCAGCAGCCGCGGUAAUACGUAGGGUGCGAGCGUUAAUCGGAAUUACUGGGCGUAAGCGUGCGCAGGCGGUUAUAUAAGACAGUUGUGAAAUCCCCGGGCUCAACCUGGGAAUUGCAUCUGUGACUGUAUAGCUAGAGUACGGUAGAGGGGGAUGGAAUUCCGCGUGUAGCAGUGAAAUGCGUAGAUAUGCGGAGGAACACCGAUGGCGAAGGCAAGUCCCCCUUGGACCUGUACGUGACGCUCAUGCACGAAAGCGUUGGGGAGCAAACAGGAUUAGAUACCCUGGUAGUCCACAGCCCUUAAACGAUGUCAACUGGUUUGUAGGGUGCAUUAAGUACUCAGUAACGAAGCUAA